RNAcentral lists this small RNA (567 nucleotides) under Pongo abelii (Sumatran orangutan). RNAcentral describes it as "processed transcript". The record is from RNAcentral. Lineage: Eukaryota; Metazoa; Chordata; Mammalia; Primates; Hominidae.
GUUUCAACUGCCCUCGGAUAAGCUGCCUUUAUGAAUUAAGGAGCUGUCUGCAUCAAAGCGUCCUCCUCGCCCUCUGACUAAUAUGAAUGACACCGUGGUUAGCCACAUGUCCUCUGGAGUGCCCACUCCCACCAAGAGUGUUCUGGACAGUCCUAGCCGACUGGAUGAGGAACACCGUCUUAUAGCUCGCUAUGCUGCCCGGCUGGCUGCAGAAGCAGGAAACGUGACUCGUCCUCCCACUGACUUGAGCUUUAACUUUGAUGCCAACAAACAACAAAGACAGCUUAUUGCAGAACUGGAAAACAAAAACAGAGAGAUCCUGCAGGAGAUUCAGCGUCUCCGCCUGGAACAUGAGCAGGCCUCCCAGCCCACCCCUGAGAAGGCACAGCAGAACCCCACACUGCUGGCAGAGCUGCGGCUGCUGAGGCAAAGGAAGGAUGAACUGGAGCAGAGGAUGUCGGCCCUGCAGGAGAGCAGGCGGGAGCUGAUGGUCCAACUAGAAGAGCUGAUGAAGUUGCUGAAGGCUCAGGCCACAGGGUCACCACAUACAUCGCCCACCCAUGGAGG